Molecule: long non-coding RNA, 744 nt
Organism: Dendronephthya gigantea
Lineage: Eukaryota; Metazoa; Cnidaria; Anthozoa; Malacalcyonacea; Nephtheidae
Exons: 3
Source: RefSeq, a predicted model, not a curated record
CAAAUGAUUCUUUCAUAUUAUUCAUAUACAGUUUGUACUGUAAACUUGAUACCAGUAAGUUUCAUCUUUUAAAUACAGAACCUGAAUGAAUUUCUAAUUUUAGAUGUCUAAGAGCAUUUUGACGAAAGAACAGCAAGAGUAUCUUAGUAAGGCUUGGGAUGAAGGGAUGACCUCUCUUUCCAAACAUAAUAUUAUAGACAAUGUGAAAAGUGAAACUGGUUUAGAUGAGAAGAUAAUUAAGCGAAAGAGAUGAAAGCAGAUGGGGCUAGUGCAGGUGACAUACAAAAGCAAGGAAGCAUGGCAUACCAAUCAUUAUCGCCAUCUUCCAAGGAGAAGUACGUCGAGAUAGCUGCCACAUGCAAUGAUCGCUCAGCCCAAUGUAGUGAGGUGACUAAAGAGAAGAAAGUUAAAAGAAUAAUUAAAAAUAUUCAUUCAAAUAUGAAACUGUUGGACGAUCUUGGCUGUCCAUCUAUUUGGCUCGGGUAUGGUGCAAAGGCUCCUUAACGACUCUUCUCCCCUCAAAUGAGUGAACUCGCUGAAGACGGCCUAUUUACAAACUACGUUGUAUCAACCAUGAUAAAAAAAGUUGGUGAGUUUUGACCUAUAAACCUGUGUAAUAAAGUCGUGUAAUCAGCAACGUACCGGUACAUGAAUUUGAUGAUGUGGUAACAGCACAUUUACAAGAGGACAUUCCAAGAACAUUUUCAACGUACAUGUACAUGCUAUAUAUACAAGCAAUUUUGA